Molecule: long non-coding RNA, 6006 nt
Organism: Lolium perenne
Lineage: Eukaryota; Viridiplantae; Streptophyta; Magnoliopsida; Poales; Poaceae
Source: RefSeq, a predicted model, not a curated record
GAGCGCAGCGGCCAGCCUAGCCAUAGUUAGUGGGUGUGUGUGUGAUAGAGGGAGGGAGAAGCCACUGUCUCGUCACAGCCAGCGAUGCCGAUCAUCGACCUCGCCCCGCAUAUGGAGCAGGAGGUCGGGGACGUCGCAGCCGCCCGGGUCGCGCGCGCCUGGUGCAUGACUUGGCCCACCUCCUCCUCGACCCCUUUCUAUAAAUCAGUACGGCCGGUACACAACCAUCUCCUCCACCAUGUUUCCUAGCAAAAACCAAACACCCUCUUCUUUCGCGUGGGUUUCCCUUUUCCUUUCGGCCAUGGCCGUUGGGUGGUGUCGUAGAGGUGAUGCAGUUGGGGGUGAAGCAUGGCGAGCGAGACAGGCGCCGGCCGGGUGCGCGCGGUGACAGAAGAGAGUGAGCACACAGCCGGGCAGGACGGCACCCGGCGGGCGGUGCCGUCGCGGCUGCGUGCUCGCUACUCUAUCUGUCACCCAGCUGCCUUCUUCGGGUUUCCGUCGACGCCCGGCCGGCCCUCCUCUCUCCGCCGUGCACAACCCCCCUCGGCCGAUCUCACUGCAUCUGCAUGUCCCCCUCGCGCUCAUCCGUUGGCCUUGUAGGUAGCGCCGUACUAGCUGGCGGUUUUCCCUCUCUUGCCUCGUACGUCGCCCGCCGUUCAUCUUUCCCGAGGAGAGCCUGCCCUAUUCCGCCUUUUCUGCUGCACUUUCUUGGGAAGGAGAUGGGAUAUUCAUUGCGCCAUUGACGCAUCUCGGAACGCACGCAGGAGCGACACCUCGCACGCGGGAAUCUACACCUGUAGUACCCCAUGGGUACAGUUCCACGAAGCACCAGAGUUCACAUGCAACUCGACUGGAUACAGGAGCAAGCAUGAGGUUUAAUUUGAUGUGCUGGAUGCAUGGAUAGCAUCGAUCCACGCAGAUCUGCUUGCUGCUGCGGCUGCCAAUUUCCAUUAUCAUCCGGUCAGUUAUCUUCUGCUGUCUCCUGUCCUUUCUGUUCUUCAGAAUUACUACUGCGAGGCUCGCUAGCUAGCUAGCUGGGUAUUGAAAGUAUGAGUAAUGGUGCAACGAUCCCUUGUCCCCCAGCUGUGGCUCCACAAAUGUAGGAUAUACUGUUGGGUCACUGUUCCAUUCAUGGCGAUGGUACCUGCCAUCGUCACAAUCCCUCGCCCCACUUGCACCUUUGACUCCAGCUUGGGCCGGGCUUACUGUGCUCAGAAAGAAACUUCAACUGAAACUGUUUCUAGUGGAUCGAUCAUACUGUAUAUGACUAGCAGAGUUGCAUGUAAACAAAACUGAUGGAUUUUCUCAAUUUUUUUUCUGAAGGAGCCUGAAAUUUUGGUUUAGGAGACUUAAUAAGAUGGGAUGUAACUAGUGUGCAUGCAAAUUAAGUUCAUUCUGUGGAUCUUAGUCCUGGAGAUUUUGCAGAUAAUGAAAUUUGUCAUGCUAUUGUUUCAUUUGUUGAUAUAAGUUAUUAUAGGGAUUCUGGCUAUUCUUUUCUUUGGAGAAGUUUCCUGUGAAAAAAAGUCAUCGAUAGUACACACAAGCUCACCAAAUCCCUGGUUUUCCAUUUCCGGUAGGUCUCUGCUUUCUAGGCAGAUGCACUCAUUGUUGACUUUUUAAAUUGAAAAUAAGAGCCAGACUUCUUAUGGUGAACUUCUAACUUUGACCUAACUCUUUUUUUCAAUAUUUCAUGCUUUAUGUUCAUGUAGUUAGAAAGUGACAUGUCUAAUUAGUAUGCUAUUGUUGAAACAUGCUCCGUAAGAAUUGUAGUUAUCUUCCUGCGGUAAAUAGACAACUGCAGUUAGUAAAUGCAUAUUGCCUUUGAAAGUUUUGGAGUAGUUUGACCACACCCUACAUAUGCAAAACUCGAUUCUCUUCAGGUUGUUCUCCAUUAGUCUCCUGUUAUCAUCAAAUUAGCCUUGUGCAUGAUUCUUGCAUGCAUACAUUUGAAGUUUGGCACUUAGUAAUUUUGUAUAUUACUUUAAGUUUCAUGCAUAACGUUUGUGUGACCCUGAUUAUCUCUCUUUGUGUGUUCUGCCUGCAAGUAUGUUUAUACACCAACUUAGCUGCAUCUCUAGUGCCUAACAAGAGAAAUUACCCAUCACACUGUCAAUUGUAAUGGAAUAUGUUUAUAGUUCAUGUUUGAAGCUUACAGAAUAUACACUAGGGGGUAAGAUGAACUUUCACACUGAUGCUGAUCCCCAAUGUAUUCCUCACUGAAAUAGUUUUUUCUAAGCUAGGAAAGGCUGAACCUACAUUGAGGUUCUAAAAUUAUGUUGACCUACAAAGUUUCAUGCUGAUAUGUCUUGCCGUUUAGGAGAAACAAAAAAAAGGCUCUAUGAAUUUUAUAUUCAUAUACUCCAUCCGUCCCAUGAAACAUGUCUUAACUUUCUGUAAAAUUGGAUGUAUAUAGCCUCUAUUUAGUGUCUAGAAACUCCUAAAUUUAGACAAAUUAGUUAAGACAUGUUUCAUGGAACGCAGGGACUAUAUUUUUACACCUGUAUUUCUAUAUGGGCCACAUACUAUAAUUUGUUCAUCUAAUUCUUUUUUUAAUUGUUUGACAUAGUAUAAUGCUGUAAUAGACUCGUGAUUUUUUUAAAACUAUAAUACCCCUAAAGAUAUGUCCAAAGUAGUGGGUGUACCUAUAUCAGGGCUCAAUCACAACUCCCAUUAUAGAAUAUAGAUAGCGACUAAUGACCGGAAUUUUAAUACGGCUCCCUCGUGCAUAUGCUCUCACCACCCAAAAAAACAUAUUUUUAAUUGUCAACGAAAUUCAACAAAAAUAUUCGCUUGUACAUCUCGACAAUCUUUGUGUGUGUUCGUACAGUUUCACGAAAAGCCAAUAUUUUUUGUGGUCGGCAUAAAAAAGACAACACAUGUCACACAAACAGCAUUAUUUUCAUCCCCAAAUAUUGUCUUUUUACACAACUCAAACGACAAAUGAUUUUUUCACGAAAGACCUUGUGCGCAUAUAGCAUGUGAAGAUGUACACGUGAAUUUUUUGUUUGGAUUUUUUUAAUAUUUCAAAAUAUAUCAAGGAUACAUUUCAAAAUAAUGGGAGCAUAUGAACCCAAAAGAUAAGACAUCACUCUUGAGAUGAAAUGCACGGCAUGGCAGGUUUGAGGCAACCGAGGGUUAAAUUUAAAAGAAAAACCAAGGGGAAUAUUUGACUUUCAGAGUUUCAGUAAGUAGUGGAAACUUAAACCCAUGAUCAUGUCACAAUCAUUGUUCACUUCACUAGGUUGCAUUGGCACAAUACUACCAAUCUGAGGCUAUUGUGCCCCCACUGUGGAGUCUAUGCUAAAUCCAGUACAUUAGUUUUGUUAUUAUUGCCUCAAUAAAGAUGUUUCUAGUUAGCAAAUUUAUAUGCCCAGAAUUUCGAACAAACUAAUUGCUUUUUAAAAGCUACCACGAUGCCAAGCAAAUUCUAGAUUCUUAGUGUGUCACUCGAGGAUUCUUUAGAUUCAUAGAUUUCUUAUUUUACAUCACAGAAUUAAUACUGCAUUCUUUUUGGACGAGGCAUUUUGAAAUGACUUUUAAACAUAGUUCAAAAUGUCAAAAAUCUAAAUUAAAAAUUGACGCGGACAUCUCAACAUUAUAUGUGCUCAUAAAGUCGUCUUGUGGAAAAUCGAUGUUUUUUGUGUCGUGUGGAAAAAUAUGUGUUUUGGUGCUUAAAAAAAGCUUUUCACAAGACAUUUCUUUAUCCUUUUCAUAAAAGACACAAAAAAUGUUAAUUUUUCGCGAAACUUGGCGUGCAUACAUUAAUGUUGACAUAUACGCGCUAAUUUUUUGUUCAGAUUUUUUUAUACUUUAAAAUGUUUUCUUGGGUACCAGGAGCAUAUGCUUCCAAGUUCAAAAGUGGUCUUCUGAUUCUUUUAUAUUCAGUAAGUUUGAACAGCACAACAUGAUGCAUGUACUCUAGGUGCAUGGAUGCAUAUAAGCUAUGUCUUGGAAGGCAUUCCAACACAUGUGAUCACAGAAAGGAAUCAAGCUAGCGUAUCCUCUUGUUAGCAGUUACAAUCUGAAAUAAAUCUGUAGGUGCGAUUGCACUAUUGAGUCACACUACAUAUAUUGGAUCUUAUUCUUGUUGACAAAUUCAUGUAUUUAAGUACAAUAGGUCUAUAGCUAUAGCUGCGCAUUAAGCUGGACGCAUAUGAUUGGUCAAGUAGCUGGACGCAGUUGAUUCACAAUUGCAACGAAUCAACAGGGGGUAAAAUUGGUAAAUGAGAUUCAAGUAAUGCAUGAUAAAAAAUUCUUUUGUGUAGUGGAUUGUAUUUAAUUUGGGACAAAAUUUUGUUUGAAUUUCAGCUAUACAUAUAUAGGUGUAUAUAGCCUUAAUUAUUUUUGAAACACAAGGCAAAAGCUUUGCCCGUUCCAUUGGUUAAGAAGAUAAUUGCCGGUUAAUUACGAAAAACCGAGGAACCUGGUAUAGCUCUGUGUGAAACGGUGAAAUGUUCUGGCCAAGUAGUAGAGAUUUUGGCAGCUGCUUUGGUUUAAAUGUGAUGGUUAUGUUUAUGUACAUCCUCAUUCCUCAGUCUUCUGAGCAGAAAUCAAUCAUUUGUGCUAAAGGUAGGCAGAUGGGAAUGCCAACCUGACAGUUGGCAUAUCAUUUUAUAUUUUUGGUUACUUUUUUUGCAACUAUCUAUUCCUGAUUAGGUUAUUUAAGAAGUAAUAAUGUGCAUUUUAAGAUGAAGCACACUAAUUAUCCAAGAAAAGUAUGCUUUCUAUCUGUUAAAACUAUUAACAAUACUGCAUCUUUUGAAAUUUGUCUACUCUGGAUACAGAACUUCAUGCAUUCAAAAAAAGACAGUAGGUACCACGUCUACAUAAAAUUUGUUACGCAUAUGUACACCAUUUUACAUGCAUAAAAAAUGUAAUACUUGAAUAAUUAAGAGUUGUCAAAAAAAAUUAGAAGGCAAUAAGUAAUGGGUGCAGAUUAUAUGCAAUUGACUAAUUAAAGAUAUUGGAUGGCUUAUACAAUAGAAAGUAUCUUAUUCUGACUUGUGAUUUUCGUGUUGGAGACAGGUAAAUUGGUAUUUUUUUCUCAUUGUCAAUUUUUGUGUUCAAAAGUUAUGAAAUUAAGUUUUUCACUUUUCCUCUCCCCAUCUCCUUUGUUAAGUUAGGCUUCGGCGGCUCUAUUUUGCUUCUCCUGUACAUCAAUAUAAAAGGUAAAUCUUUUGUCUCGUUUAAAAAAAUAAUAAAGGAGACAUGCGAGUGUUCUUAUUGCUGGAUCCAGCCAAUGAAGAUCAGACCGAGGCUUAGUGCACAGAAAAAAGCAACAUCGCUCAAUUUUGUUGCCAAGGUCGCACCGGCAUAGGUUAAACACUCCAAAGGGCAAAGGAGCUGCUCAAGGCCGAGGGGGUUGAGGGGAGGCCAUGUGACUAGGGUUGAGAGAGGAGUAUGAGAGAGGUGUGUAGAGUUCUUUGAGUUAGCUUGCAACAUAUGCGUCCCUAGCUUCUUGUAAAAACCCUUAGAAACUUCGAUACGUAUGUUAGGAGAUUGGGUUAUUUUUUCUAAUGUAGGCCAGGUAGAGCCAAUGCACGGACAUUGAUCUUGUUUGAAGAUGCGCUGUGUUUUUUUUUUCGAAAUGAGGGAUAUAUCUCCAGGCUUUGUAUCAAAGUGAUGCAUACAGCCUUAUUACUUAUAGAAGAUGGACUGUGUAUGCGUACAUGGUGUUAUAUACAAUGAUGGGUCGAGCUAUCAACAAUCAAAGCAGUCACACUCUGGAGCCACGGCCGAUCACUGAUCGUUGAUGCCAUGCGUUUACAUUUUGAGAUACAACGGCAAAAGCUCAGUAUCAUGCCUCACUAUCAACACAUAUAGAGAAUAUAGAGAUUUUAACGAAAGCAGCUAGCACUGCGUUCAUUUAUAUAGAGAGAACAAAGAUGAAACCAAAUUCAGAUACUAAAACAUAUUGGUGCAGGAACCCUGAUUACAACAGCAGGGAGCAUGGAGAAUAUGGAGAUUGAAAUAUAGGCGGAUCUAGCAAAUUGUCAUACUUGUGUG